Non-coding RNA from Acanthosepion pharaonis, 105 nucleotides. The record is from the annotation of a GenBank genome assembly. Lineage: Eukaryota; Metazoa; Mollusca; Cephalopoda; Sepiida; Sepiidae.
GGAUAUAUCAUGUUUAAACACCAGUUCUCGUCCGAUCACCGAAGUUAAGGAAGUCUGAACCUGGUAAAUACUUAGAUGGGUGACCACUUGGGAAUACCAGGCGCU